GAAUUUUAUAUUAUUUUUAUUUAUAGGAAUAUUAAUAAUAUUUUAUUGGGAGGAUAAUUAAAUUUAAUAAACUUUAAAAAUUUAAAAUAUAAAUUAAUAAGUUUAAAAGAUUGAAAUAAAUUCAUUAAAAAAUUAAUUACCUUAGGGAUAACAGCAUAAUUUUAUUUUUUAGUUCAUAUAUAAAAUAAAGAUUAU
This 195-nucleotide ribosomal RNA is filed under the name Pseudoponera stigma. RNAcentral describes it as "partial large subunit ribosomal RNA". The record is from RNAcentral. Lineage: Eukaryota; Metazoa; Arthropoda; Insecta; Hymenoptera; Formicidae.